Molecule: ribosomal RNA, 415 nt
Filed under: uncultured microorganism
Description: bacterial SSU rRNA
Rfam family: Bacterial small subunit ribosomal RNA
Source: RNAcentral
GAGUUUGAUCCUGGCUCAGAUUGAACGCUGGCGGCAUGCCUUACACAUGCAAGUCGAACGGCAGCAUGAUCUAGCUUGCUAGAUUGAUGGCGAGUGGCGAACGGGUGAGUAAUACAUCGGAACGUGCCCUGUAGUGGGGGAUAACUAGUCGAAAGAUUAGCUAAUACCGCAUACGACCUGAGGGUGAAAGUGGGGGACCGCAAGGCCUCAUGCUAUAGGAGCGGCCGAUGUCUGAUUAGCUAGUUGGUGGGGUAAAGGCCCACCAAGGCGACGAUCAGUAGCUGGUCUGAGAGGACGAUCAGCCACACUGGGACUGAGACACGGCCCAGUCUCCUACGGGAGGCAGCAGUGGGGAAUUUUGGACAAUGGGCGAAAGCCUGAUCCAGCAAUGCCGCGUGUGUGAAGAAGGCCUCGG